UUCAGAUCUGUUAAAGACACUUUUACAAACGACUUGCUGAAUACAUCAUCAGCAGCUUUUCAAAAUCGAGCUGCAUUGAUAAAGGGACAGCUUGAACCUGUCUACCAAAGGACAUUCCCUUCAUUCAGGUUCUUGGAAGUGGUGUCAUUCAAAAGUGGAUCAGUCAUCAACAACGUGAACCUUGGCUUUGUAAGCACGUCUGCCCCUAGUAACGCUCAGAUUGCAAACACUUUGAUCAACGCAGCUUCAAACAUCACUGCCUUCGACAUUGAAAGCAGCUCUAUCUCCGUGAAUGGCAUCUCUUCGGGUGGAGUAAGCCACAAAAUCAGUCUCGUCACUGCAUCCUGCCUGGUACUGUUGUCAUGGCUACUCUAAAGCAAGCAAUAGCAUCUGUGCUGAAUUUCCUUCAGAUGAUGACAGUCAUGACUGAUAUGAAAAGGGAAUUUGUUGUCCGUAAAUAUCCAAAAUUCAUGAUUGCCUUAAGGCUUGACAGCUUUGGAUAAAUGUACUAUCAAAUUUAACUUUACAAAACCCCUAUAGAGGUUAAAACAAUUGUGCAACAACAAAUAAAUGAC
Molecule: long non-coding RNA, 575 nt
Organism: Perca flavescens (yellow perch)
Lineage: Eukaryota; Metazoa; Chordata; Actinopteri; Perciformes; Percidae
Exons: 4
Source: RefSeq, a predicted model, not a curated record